AGCGGCGGACGGGUGAGUAACGCGUGGGUAACCUGCCCUAUACCCACGGAUAACAUACCGAAAGGUAUGCUAAUACGAGAUAAUAUGCUUUUAUCGCAUGGUAGAAGUAUCAAAGCUUUUGCGGUACAGGAUGGACCCGCGUCUGAUUAGCUAGUUGGUAAGGUAACGGCUUACCAAGGCGACGAUCAGUAGCCGACCUGAGAGGGUGAUCGGCCACAUUGGAACUGAGACACGGUCCAAACUCCUACGGGAGGCAGCAGUGGGGAAUAUUGCACAAUGGGCGAAAGCCUGAUGCAGCAACGCCGCGUGAGCGAUGAAGGCCUUCGGGUCGUAAAGCUCUGUCCUCAAGGAAGAUAAUGACGGUACUUGAGGAGGAAGCCCCGGCUAACUACGUGCCAGCAGCCGCGGUAAUACGUAGGGGGCUAGCGUUAUCCGGAAUUACUGGGCGUAAAGGGUGCGUAGGUGGUUUCUUAAGUCAGAGGUGAAAGGCUACGGCUCAACCGUAGUAAGCCUUUGAAACUGGGAAACUUGAGUGCAGGAGAGGAGAGUGGAAUUCCUAGUGUAGCGGUGAAAUGCGUAGAUAUUAGGAGGAACACCAGUUGCGAAGGCGGCUCUCUGGACUGUAUCUGACACUGAGGCACGAAAGAGGGCAGAAAGGUGGGGGGAAAAUACGCUGAUAUUCCCCGGCGUCCCGAUGAGUACUAGCUGU
This 709-nucleotide ribosomal RNA is filed under the name uncultured bacterium. Its description in RNAcentral is "bacterial SSU rRNA". It matches the Rfam family "Bacterial small subunit ribosomal RNA", at positions 94 to 823 of the family's 1533-position model. The record is from RNAcentral.